CACACACACACACACGUGUGUAUAUAUAUAUAUAUAUAUACACACUCAUGCAUAUAUAUAUAUAUAUAUAUAUAUGUGUGUGUGUGUGUGUU
Podarcis lilfordi (Lilford's wall lizard) is the source of this 92-nucleotide non-coding RNA. NCBI's taxonomy places the organism in Eukaryota, Metazoa, Chordata, Lepidosauria, Squamata, Lacertidae. The record is from the annotation of a GenBank genome assembly.